AUUGAACGCUGGCGGCAGGCUUAACACAUGCAAGUCGAGCGAGCGGCGGACGGGUGAGUAAUGUCUGGGAAACUGCCUGAUGGAGGGGGAUAACUACUGGAAACGGUAGCUAAUACCGCAUACCAUCAGAUGUGCCCCGAUGGGAUUAGCUAGUAGGUGGGGUAAUGGCUCACCUAGGCGACGAUCCCUAGCUGGUCUGAGAGGAUGACCAGGCGCAAUGGAACUGAGACGAAGUACAGACGCCUGCGGCGGGCAGCAGUGGAGUAUAUUGCACAAGAGGAGCAAGCCAGAGGCAGCCAGGCCGAGUGUGUGGAGAGGGCCGUCGGGUUGUAACGCACUUUCGGCGAGGAGGCGUUACUCGCAGAAGAAGCACCGGCUAAAUCCGUGCCAGCAGCCGCGGUAUUC
Molecule: ribosomal RNA, 405 nt
Filed under: uncultured bacterium
Lineage: Bacteria
Description: partial 16S ribosomal RNA
Rfam family: Bacterial small subunit ribosomal RNA
Source: RNAcentral